AGGACGAACGCUGGCGGCGUGCCUAAUACAUGCAAGUCGAACGCUUCUUUUUCCACCGGAGCUUGCUCCACCGGAAAAAGAAGAGUGGCGAACGGGUGAGUAACACGUGGGUAACCUGCCCAUCAGAAGGGGAUAACACUUGGAAACAGGUGCUAAUACCGUAUAACAAUCGAAACCGCAUGGUUUUGAUUUGAAAGGCGCUUUCGGGUGUCGCUGAUGGAUGGACCCGCGGUGCAUUAGCUAGUUGGUGAGGUAACGGCUCACCAAGGCCACGAUGCAUAGCCGACCUGAGAGGGUGAUCGGCCACAUUGGGACUGAGACACGGCCCAAACUCCUACGGGAGGCAGCAGUAGGGAAUCUUCGGCAAUGGACGAAAGUCUGACCGAGCAACGCCGCGUGAGUGAAGAAGGUUUUCGGAUCG
This 421-nucleotide ribosomal RNA is filed under the name Enterococcus faecium. RNAcentral's name for it is "bacterial SSU rRNA". It matches the Rfam family "Bacterial small subunit ribosomal RNA", at positions 26 to 425 of the family's 1533-position model. The record is from RNAcentral. Lineage: Bacteria; Bacillati; Bacillota; Bacilli; Lactobacillales; Enterococcaceae.